This 506-nucleotide ribosomal RNA is filed under the name uncultured bacterium. RNAcentral describes it as "partial 16S ribosomal RNA". It matches the Rfam family "Bacterial small subunit ribosomal RNA", at positions 29 to 523 of the family's 1533-position model. The record is from RNAcentral.
AGUGAACGCUGGCGGUAGGCCUAACACAUGCAAGUCGAACGGCAGCACAGAGGAGCUUGCUCCUUGGGUGGCGAGUGGCGGACGGGUGAGGAAUACAUCGGAAUCUACUCUGUCGUGGGGGAUUACGUAGGGAAACUUACGCUAAUACCGCAUACGACCUACGGGUGAAAGCAGGGGAUCUUCGGACCUUGCGCGAUUGAACGAGCCGAUGUCGGAUUAGGUAGUUGGCGGGGUAAAGGCCCACCAAGGCGACGAUCCGGAGCUGGUCUGAGAGGAUGAUCAGCCACACUGGAACUGAGACACGGUCCAGACUCCUACGGGAGGCAGCAGUGGGGAAUAUUGGACAAUGGGCGCAAGCCUGAUCCAGCCAUACCGCGUGGGUGAAGAAGGCCUUCGGGUUGUAAAGCCCUUUUGUUGGGAAAGAAAUCCAGCUGGUUAAUACCCGGUUGGGAUGACGGUACCCAAAGAAUAAGCACCGGCUAACUUCGUGCCAGCCGCCGCAGUAA